AACGUAGGAGACAAACGUUAUCCGGAGUUACUGGGCGUAAAGGGCGUGCAAGUGGUCUGUUAAGUCUGGCGUGAAAGCUCUCGGCUAAACCGGGAGAGGUCGUUGGAUACUGGCGGACUAGAGGACGGUAGAGGCGUGUGGAAUUCCGGGUGUAGCAGUGGAAUGCGUAGAUAUCAGAAGGAACAUCAGUGGCGAAGGCGGCUUCCUGGACCAAUACUGACGAUCAGGUGCGAAAGCGUGGGGAGCAAACAGG
RNAcentral lists this ribosomal RNA (253 nucleotides) under uncultured bacterium. RNAcentral describes it as "partial 16S ribosomal RNA". It matches the Rfam family "Bacterial small subunit ribosomal RNA", at positions 524 to 776 of the family's 1533-position model. The record is from RNAcentral.